RNAcentral lists this ribosomal RNA (348 nucleotides) under Neohirasea fruhstorferi. RNAcentral describes it as "partial small subunit ribosomal RNA". Lineage: Eukaryota; Metazoa; Arthropoda; Insecta; Phasmatodea; Lonchodidae. The record is from RNAcentral.
UAGAUAUGUUCUUUAAAUCUAAAGAACUUGGCGGUGUUUUAGUCUAUUUAGAGGAAUUUGUGCCGUUAUCGAUAGUCCUCGUUUUAUCUUGCUUUAUUUUGUUUAUCAGUAUGUAUACCGCCGUUAUCAGUUUAUUUUAUUAAAAUUUUAAAUUUACUUUAUUUAUUAUUUAAAUUUAUUUCAGGUCAAGGUGCAGUUAAUAGUAAAGUGGUAAUGAAUUACAAUAUUAUUUGAGUAGAAUGGAUUUAAGAUUUAAAAGUUUUAAUGAAGGUGGAUUUAAUUGUAAUUUUAUUUAUAAUAUUAUUUUGAUUUUAGCUCUAAAAUGAGUACACAUCGCCCGUCGCUCUA